UAAGGAAUAUUGGACAAUGGUCGGAAGACUGAUCCAGCCAUGCCGCGUGAAGGACGAAGGCGCUCAGCGUUGUAAACUUCUUUUGGACGGGAACAAAACCGGGCACUUGUGUCCGUCUGAGGGUACCGUCAGAAUAAGCACCGGCUAACUCCGUGCCAGCAGCCGCGGUAAUACGGAGGGUGCAAGCGUUAUCCGGAAUCACUGGGUUUAAAGGGUGCGUAGGCGGUUUUUUAAGUCAGUUGUGAAAUUCCCUCGCUUAACGAGUGGGACUGCGAUUGAUACUGAGAGACUUGAAUCAGGUUGAGGUAGGCGGAAUGUGACAUGUAGCGGUGAAAUGCUUAGAUAUGUCAUAGAACACCGAUUGCGAAGGCAGCUUGCUGGACCUGAAUUGACGCUGAGG
This 400-nucleotide ribosomal RNA is filed under the name uncultured bacterium. Its description in RNAcentral is "bacterial SSU rRNA". It matches the Rfam family "Bacterial small subunit ribosomal RNA", at positions 355 to 751 of the family's 1533-position model. The record is from RNAcentral.